AAUCUACGGAGGUUACAGAUGGGCAUGCGUGCCAUUAGCUAGAUGGUAAGGUAACGGCUUACCAUGGCAAUGAUGGCUAGGGGUUCUGCAAGGAAGGCCCCCCACACUGGUACUGAGACACAGACCAGACGUCGUACGGGAGGCAGCAGUGAGGAAUAUUGGUCAAUGGAGGCAACUCUGAACCAGCCAAGCCGCGUGAAGGAAGACUGUCCUAUGGAUUGUAAACUUCUUUUGUGGCAGAAUAAACUACCGUACUCGUACGGUAUUGCAUGUAUGCCAUGAAUAAGCAUCGGCUAACUCCGUGCCAGCAGCCGCGGUAAUACGGAGGAUGCAGGCGUUAUCCGGAUUUAUUAGGUUUAAAGGGUGUUCAGGCUGCCUGGUAAGUCAGGGGUGAAAGUCGGUCGCUCAACGAUCGAAUUGCCUUUGAAACUGUCAGGCUCGAGUAUGGAUGCGGUAGGCGGAAUGUGUAGUGUAGCGGUGAAAUGCAUAGAUAUUACACAGAACACCGAUUGCGAAGGCAGCUUACCAAACCAGCACUGACGCUGAAGCACGAAAGCGUGGGGAGCGAACAGGAUUAGAUACCCUGGUAGUCCACGCCGUAAACUUUGCUCACUCGCUGUUGGCGAUAGACAGUCAGCGGCCAAGGGAAACCGAUAAGUGAGCCACCUGGGGAGUACGGCCGCAAGGUUGAAACUCAAAGGAAUUGACGGGGGCCCGCACAAGCGGUGGAACAUGUGGUUUAAUUCGAUGAUACGCGAGGAACCUUACCUGGGCUUAAAUGUGAAGUGCAUUGAUUGGAAACAAUCAUUUCCUUCGGGACCCUUUACAAGGUGCUGCAUGGUUGUCGUCAGCUCGUGCCGUGAGGUGUCGGGUUAAGUCCCAUAACGAGCGCAACCCCUAUUGUUAGUUACCAGCGCGUGAUGGCGGGGACUCUAGCGAAACUGCCGGUCUCCCCCGCGAGCAAGGUGGGGAUGACGUCAAAUCAGCACGGCCCUUAUGUCCAGGGCUACACACGUGUUACAAUGGCCGGUACAGCGGGCAGCUAGGCAGCGAUGUCAUGCUAAUCCCGAAAGCCGGUCCCAGUUCGGAUUGGGGUCUGCAACCCGACUCCAUGAAGG
This 1118-nucleotide ribosomal RNA is filed under the name uncultured organism. RNAcentral describes it as "bacterial SSU rRNA". It matches the Rfam family "Bacterial small subunit ribosomal RNA", at positions 202 to 1326 of the family's 1533-position model. The record is from RNAcentral.